RNAcentral lists this ribosomal RNA (746 nucleotides) under Staphylococcus aureus. RNAcentral describes it as "bacterial SSU rRNA". It matches the Rfam family "Bacterial small subunit ribosomal RNA", at positions 89 to 822 of the family's 1533-position model. Lineage: Bacteria; Bacillati; Bacillota; Bacilli; Caryophanales; Staphylococcaceae. The record is from RNAcentral.
ACGUUAGCGGCGGACGGGUGAGUAACACGUGGGUAACCUACCUAUAAGAGUGGGAUAACUUCGGGAAACCGGAGCUAAUACCGGAUAAUAUUUCGAACCGCAUGGUUCGAUAGUGAAAGAUGGUUUUGCUAUCACUUAUAGAUGGACCCGCGCCGUAUUAGCUAGUUGGUAAGGUAACGGCUUACCAAGGCGACGAUACGUAGCCGACCUGAGAGGGUGAUCGGCCACACUGGAACUGAGACACGGUCCAGACUCCUACGGGAGGCAGCAGUAGGGAAUCUUCCGCAAUGGGCGAAAGCCUGACGGAGCAACGCCGCGUGAGUGAUGAAGGUCUUCGGAUCGUAAAACUCUGUUAUUAGGGAAGAACAUACGUGUAAGUAACUAUGCACGUCUUGACGGUACCUAAUCAGAAAGCCACGGCUAACUACGUGCCAGCAGCCGCGGUAAUACGUAGGUGGCAAGCGUUAUCCGGAAUUAUUGGGCGUAAAGCGCGCGUAGGCGGUUUUUUAAGUCUGAUGUGAAAGCCCACGGCUCAACCGUGGAGGGUCAUUGGAAACUGUAAAACUUGAGUGCAGAAGAGGAAAGUGGAAUUCCAUGUGUAGCGGUGAAAUGCGCAGAGAUAUGGAGGAACACCAGUGGCGAAGGCGACUUUCUGGUCUGUAACUGACGCUGAUGUGCGAAAGCGUGGGGAUCAAACAGGAUUAGAUACCCUGGUAGUCCACGCCGUAAACGAUGAGUGCUAAGUG